UCAACGCCACGUGGACCGAAGACUCGGUCAAUAUCGUCACAUAGACGCCACGUCAGUGAAACCACCCUAAAACUGCCGAGGGAGUCAAAUUUCACCGGUUUUGCAAGUUCGGGGGGUCGAGAUUUCUGGUAUUACGGUUGAGGGAUACUACGAUUUAGAUUCGGUGGUCAGUUAAGGGAGUCAAAGUGAUUUUAUUCCUAUAUUAUCUCCUCUGCUCCGCCGGUUUCCGACUCCGACAAACUGGGCGCAGCGGAGAUCGGAGAUCGCCAGAUCGGGGAGGGAACCAGAGCGCCGCCGCCUUUCGUCCGGUGGGGAUUCUCGUCUCGCAGAACACGCAGGCAGGGCGCUGUACAACCCCAACGCCGAGACAGAGGAAAAGGCUUGAGGGAGACCUUUUCUAAUCCUGCUCCUCUCGGCCAGGUCCGCUCCCUCUUUGUUUGCUGCUAGCAAUUUAAAUUCCACCGAGGGGUUCUAUGCAAAGUGAAGUAAUUGUGAUGAACUGAAAUUUUUAUGCUCCUUGUGCAGUUUUAGAUAUUGAUGAGUAAUUUACAUUGGAUAAGUUAUAAGCUAUAGGGUAAACCCUCUUCAUUUAGGCAAGCUGUUGGAAUGCCUUUUUGUUUUAGUUAGAAUGUUGGAGGAUUGCUUGGGAACGUCGGUACCAACUACAAUUCCUUAAUUUGGAAAUCUUGGGCCCCUGCGAAAUGCAAAUUUUAUGCGUGGCUUGUGAUACAAAAUAGAGUUUGGACCUCCGACCGACUAGCUGCAAGAGGAUGGCCAAAUAGUGGAACGUGCCCCCUAUGUCGUGCGACGAAUGAGACGGCAUUUCACCUAAUCGCUUCUUGUAGAUACACCAAGAGGAUCUGGCGCCUAACGGCUAGCUGGGUGGCCUAUCAGUAAUUGGACCCAACUCAUUGGGAGCCAUACCAAAGUGUCCAAGAAUGGUGGGAAAUGCUGACUAACAUAAAUGAAGUGCCCAAGAAAGGAUUGAGAUCCUUAAUCCUACUCAUCAUGUGGGAAAUCUGGAAGGAAAGGAACCAGCGGAUCUUUGAGCAUAAGGAAACAGCGGCCCCCAAUCUUAUAGCGAAGAUAAAGGAAGAGGCAAGAACCUGGAUCAUAGCAGGCGCAAGGCGUCUCGGAGAAUUCCUCCCAUCUUAGUCAUAGUCUCUGUUUUCAUGUACAAUUUUCUUUUCUUGCCUCUAGGGACUGUAUUUUUUUUACCUCUAUAUCCAAUGAAAUAGCACAAUCUCGUGCUGAUUCUUUUCAAAAAAAAAUGGUGUAUGGUACAAUUAACAGAGCAUUAAUUAAUGGUCCAAUACCCUA
Molecule: non-coding RNA, 1320 nt
Organism: Oryza sativa Japonica Group (Japanese rice)
Lineage: Eukaryota; Viridiplantae; Streptophyta; Magnoliopsida; Poales; Poaceae
Source: RefSeq, a predicted model, not a curated record